Molecule: transfer RNA, 71 nt
Filed under: Sauromalus ater
Lineage: Eukaryota; Metazoa; Chordata; Lepidosauria; Squamata; Iguanidae
Description: tRNA-Tyr
Source: RNAcentral
UGGUAAAAAAAGGAAUUAAACCUUCCUGAAUAGGACUACAGCCUACCACCUAAACGCUCGGCCAUUUUACC